GCCCGCUCAGAAACUCAAAGGAAUUGACGGGGCCCGCACAAGCGGUGGAGCACGUGGUUUAAUUCGAUGCAACGCGAAGAACCUUACCUGGUCUUGACAUCCCGGAGACCCUUAGGAAACUAGGGGGUGCUUCCAUCUGGAAGAAUCUGGAGACAGGUGCUGCAUGGCUGUCGUCAGCUCGUGUCGUGAGAUGUUGGGUUAAGUCCCGCAACGAGCGCAACCCUUGCCUUUAGUUGCCAGCAGUUCGGCUGGGCACUCUAAAGGGACUGCCGGUGUUAAACCGGAGGAAGGUGGGGAUGACGUCAAGUCCUCAUGGCCUUUACGGCCUGGGCUACACACGUGCUACAAUGGUCGGUACAAAGGGUUGCCAAGCCGCGAGGUGGAGCUAAUCCCAUAAAACCGAUCGUAGUCCGGAUCGCAGUCUGCAACUCGACUGCGUGAAGUCGGAAUCGCUAGUAAUCGUGAAUCAGAAUGUCACGGUGAAUACGUUCCCGGGCCUU
Molecule: ribosomal RNA, 500 nt
Filed under: uncultured Desulfobulbus sp.
Lineage: Bacteria; Pseudomonadati; Thermodesulfobacteriota; Desulfobulbia; Desulfobulbales; Desulfobulbaceae
Description: bacterial SSU rRNA
Rfam family: Bacterial small subunit ribosomal RNA
Source: RNAcentral